Molecule: ribosomal RNA, 425 nt
Filed under: uncultured bacterium
Lineage: Bacteria
Description: partial 16S ribosomal RNA
Rfam family: Bacterial small subunit ribosomal RNA
Source: RNAcentral
GUGGGGAAUCUUGCGCAAUGGGCGAAAGCCUGACGCAGCCAUGCCGCGUGAAUGAUGAAGGUCUUAGGAUUGUAAAAUUCUUUCACCGGGGACGAUAAUGACGGUACCCGGAGAAGAAGCUCCGGCUAACUUCGUGCCAGCAGCCGCGGUAAUACGAAGGGGGCUAGCGUUGCUCGGAAUUACUGGGCGUAAAGGGCGCGUAGGCGGACAGCUUAGUCAGAGGUGAAAGCCCAGGGCUCAACCUUGGAAUUGCCUUUGAUACUGGCUGUCUUGAGUUUGGGAGAGGUGAGUGGAACUCCGAGUGUAGAGGUGAAAUUCGUAGAUAUUCGGAAGAACACCAGUGGCGAAUGCGACUCACUGGCCCAAUACUGACGCUGAGGCGCGAAAGCGUGGGGAGCAAACAGGAUUAGAUACCCGUGUAGUCC